UACGAAGGGGGCUAGCGUUGCUCGGAAUCACUGGGCGUAAAGCGCACGUAGGCGGAUCUUUAAGUCAGGGGUGAAAUCCUGGAGCUCAACUCCAGAACUGCCUUUGAUACUGGGGAUCUCGAGUCCGGGAGAGGUGAGUGGAACUGCGAGUGUAGAGGUGAAAUUCGUAGAUAUUCGCAAGAACACCAGUGGCGAAGGCGGCUCACUGGCCCGGUACUGACGCUGAGGUGCGAAAGCGUGGGGAGCAAAUAGG
RNAcentral lists this ribosomal RNA (253 nucleotides) under uncultured bacterium. Its description in RNAcentral is "partial 16S ribosomal RNA". It matches the Rfam family "Bacterial small subunit ribosomal RNA", at positions 524 to 776 of the family's 1533-position model. The record is from RNAcentral.